Molecule: long non-coding RNA, 1014 nt
Filed under: Dasypus novemcinctus (nine-banded armadillo)
Lineage: Eukaryota; Metazoa; Chordata; Mammalia; Cingulata; Dasypodidae
Description: lncRNA (ENSDNOG00000051786.1)
Source: RNAcentral
GGAAAGUUGAAAGGGAGAGGAAAGGGAGAGAAAACCUUCAGACCAUAAUGUAGAUCUAACUCUCUUUCAAACUAUUAUGACUGCAGUCUGCUGACUGCUUUGAGGUCUCUUCAAACAUCAAUAUAAAUGUCCAAAUGUGGAGGGGGAGGCCGUGGGGGAGGUCCAAGAGGCCCCCAGGGCAAAGGAGGUGGAUCCUGUCUCAGCAUUGGCAGUGGAGGGCCUCCCAUGGAGUGGGGCAUGAAGGGAGGUCCUGGAAAAGGAGGGGGACCCCUUGCAGCCAUAUUAACCUUGCCCUCCUCUGUCCACCCAGCAGGGAAUGAGCUUCCAGAGCUGCUGUUCCUCAGGGGAGCUGCACCAGGUCCUGGAUCUCUCUGUGGAGGGGCGUCCACAUCAGGCCUUCCCGGCACCAGUUUCUUAUGUUUCUGGGAUAUUUCCAGUCUAUGUUUCAAGCAAGGAAGCUGGGGCCUGCAGCCGCUGGGAGCCUGAGCGGGGCAUAUAGCUUGACCUGAGCAGCAGGGGCAGGGAGACCGCACCUGGAAUCCCACUCACUUGUUCUGAGGUCCUCGUCUCUAAAGAGCCAUCUGCUUAGACUGCCUUGUUUUGUGCUUUCCCAGCCUUUGGUUAGCUCAUAGGUUUUCACAGUUUCAGGGAUCUCAUUGAAGGGGAUCUGCAGUUGGCACUUGUGGUGGUUGCAGAGGGGAUGCCCUUAAAAAUGACAAUUCUAAUUAAUGUUUGGGCUAUGGCCAGGCCCUGUGUUAAGUGCGUCUACACACAUCUAAUUUAACUCUCAUAACCACUUUAUCAGGUAGAUAAUAUUCUCUCCGACCCGCACCCCCCCCUUUUACAGAUAAGGAAACCUGAUGUACAGAAGGGUUAAGAAACAUGUCCAAUAACUGCUCGUAAGUAGCAGAGCUGGGUUUUGAAUCCCUGCCUGUGUCUUUCCAGAAAUGCAGCUCAACCUCCACGCCUCACAAUUUCCAAGCAAUUUAAUCGCCUUUAAUUCCAUUUCAUUGC